AGCUCCAAUAGUGUAUAUUAAAUUUGCUGCAGUUAAAGCGUCCGUAGUUUGAUGUCGUCCAAUCCGGUGAGUUGCGGAGGUACCUCGGUACUUCACGCGCUCUCAACGUUGGACUGGGGGAGACAUAGGGCAACUUACGUCCCCCCGUUACUUUGAGCAAAUUGGAGUGUUCCAAUCAAGCUUUAGCUUGAACAGCUCAGCAUGGAAUAAUGAGAUAGGACUUUGGUUCUUCUCGCUGGUGUCAUGGACCGAAUGUAAUGGUUGAUAAGGACAUACGGGGGCAUUCGUACUUGAUGGAGAGAGGUGAAAUUCUAAGACCCAUCAAAGACGGUCCAGUGCGAAAGCAUUUGCUCAGUGUGUUCCUG
This 365-nucleotide ribosomal RNA is filed under the name uncultured eukaryote. RNAcentral's name for it is "SSU rRNA". It matches the Rfam family "Eukaryotic small subunit ribosomal RNA", at positions 587 to 972 of the family's 1831-position model. The record is from RNAcentral.